GGAAUAGUUUACAUUGGAAAGUUAAAACAAUUGCUAAUUGUUCGAGUAUUCUCUUAGGUGUUCGAAUCACCUCUAUUCCG
RNAcentral lists this transfer RNA (80 nucleotides) under Russula griseocarnosa. RNAcentral's name for it is "tRNA-Ser". Lineage: Eukaryota; Fungi; Basidiomycota; Agaricomycetes; Russulales; Russulaceae. The record is from RNAcentral.